This is a long non-coding RNA of Drosophila mauritiana, 499 nucleotides long. RefSeq lists it as uncharacterized. The record is from RefSeq and is a predicted model, not a curated record. The transcript is spliced from 2 exons. NCBI's taxonomy places the organism in Eukaryota, Metazoa, Arthropoda, Insecta, Diptera, Drosophilidae.
AAGGUUUUCUUAAAGCGAUCACAACAUGAAGCUAUUACUGUUUAUUUCCGCACUAAUUGCAGUUCUCUGCACCACAAUUGUGGCUGCUGAUUGCUUGACGGACCCCGUGACAAUGCUGUGCAUUUUGGACCCAAAUCAUGGCAAAUAACUUUGUAUGUCACCUGGCUCAAUAAAGCACAAAAGUAGAACACGAUGUGGGCUUCUGUAUCCUAAGUAAUUCAAGUCUCCCCAGACUGAGUUACGUGUGGCAAAUCGCAUUAAACAUUCCACGCCCACCGCCUUCCCACUACCCCAGACAUCGUUUUUGUUAAGGUCUCAAUACCCUGCCGUUGGGUAUUUCGAUACUGCGAUUCACUAUGUAACGCUUAUUGAAAGAUAUAUUCUUUUGAAUACUGAAUUGCCCUGUGUUACAGUUUUAAUAUCCACUAAACAUCAUUAAAUCAUUUUUUGUAAUGGGUAUUUUCAGUGUCGUGGCAUAAAUAUAUAGCAGUUUUGUGUA